AUUUUAGCGAUGGCUACGAUACGGAAACGACUAACGAACCAAUCCAUUCAAACUUCGACUAAUAACUUGCGACUAACGCGGAAUUUCAGCCUACGUUUUGCUACCGUAACAAGCCGCCGUUCGACUAUUCCACGAACGAGAUGAAUGAAAACGGUACAAAAACAUAGAAGAUCGAAUAGAAGAUACGUAUCUAGCGGAUGAAUAUUCUGUGUAUUACGUAAAAGGUACGAUGAAAACAAACAAAUUAUGAAAAAAUGUAUAAAAGGAGCCUCUAUGUGGGCUUGUUGGAAUCUGAUGAACGAACACACUGAUUACAUAUGUAUAUUUUAGUAGUACACUAUGUGCUAUGUUAACGUAACACGGAGAACAGAUUUACAACGAAUUUCGUAGCACAUGCGCAGUUGCGAAUUCAGUCGGCGGAAGAUCUUCCGAAGAAGGAUCUUAGGAGCGUGAAUUUAGCUCUUAAUUGAUAGAAAACGCGAGUUCCCAAUGGACUUUGAAUCGUUAGUUUAUUAGUAAUUUAUUGAGUAGGGUGUUUUGAACGAUGCCAAUAAUGAAAACUCGGAGUUGGAAUAAGGAUUCAGUACUAGUACAUAAAUGAUUGGUUACCUAACAGGUUAUUAGAUAUUGUAAAAUACGUGGGACUCUCGGUAGGUUUUCCUCUACGGUAAAGCAUAAUAAACGACCAAAUUUUGUCUCUCACGUUUCGCUUGGAGAUACUCCGACGGUUUGUUUGUAGCCAUUCCAAAUACAUUAACACUAAUGUAUUUUGUAUGCGACAAGUAACGUUGCACAACGUGUAACUGGCACUAUAUAAGUUAACUGCUAAAUCGUUUUCUUCGUAAUUCUUUAAAUUAGAUGCAAUUCAUAGAACCUGUUUAUCGCUCCGAUCAUAUCAAUCAAAUAUUUUAGGACGGCGUUCGUCCGAGAAUAAUCGUUCGCGUGUCACGGGCAAUUGGACAAUUUUAAUUAAAGCAAAUUUACAAAUUCGUAAUAACAACGAUCUUAAAGCAAGUUUCCAUUAAAUCGUUGCCAAUGACAAUCUUCCUAAAUUAGAUGCAAUUCAUCGAAUUUGAUUUGUUGAUUCUAUUUAUAGAACAUUACCAGGAAGGAAAAUGUUACACGUAGCAAUUGUUGAACAAGUUGGAUAAAAAUAAAUAUUAGCAAGGACUGAUCGAAGCUGUCGCUAUUGCAUGUGCGACAGAGCACAUGGCUCGCGGAAAAAUGGAUUCCUUUUAACUGGUUUACGUGCGAUCUCGCCUCUGCUAUCGCGUCAUCGUUCUCGCUUACGAGUUCGUAUUUCCGUGGGCCUCCCGUCGAAACGUCACGAAUUCCGACGAUUUGACGCCGUACACUUACGAUGUUGGCUGCCAAUCGAUCGCCGCUGCCAGACUAGCUACCCCCUCCCCGCCGAUAUUCACGACAUUGGCAAACAUUUCACGAACUGUUAUACGAUCAGAGGUUGGUAAAACUUGACAAUUUUUACAAAAUCGCGAUACCGUAGAAAUACAUUCCGAUCGAACGAGCGCUGUAACAUUUUAAUCGCCUCACGCAAAUAUUUACUAAACUAUAUAUUAUUGGGAGAAGUGUAUCGAACGAAAAUUGUUCUGUUUCAAGGGGGGCGUCUUACGAUGACCAUCAAAUUUAUCUGGGUGCACGCGGUUUCGAGGUCUCGAGCUAUCGUUGUUCUUUUAAAUGCAACUGUACAAUUCUUUUUAUAGAUUUUUAUACAAUUUUUUUUUCAUGAAAUUUUUAAUUUUUUACAGACAAAGUACUAAAGUACUUGUGUGAAGAAAUGUUUAAUUUGAAGAGCAUUUGCACGUUAACGAAAUCGAGCGUACGAACAAGGAAAACGUAAACAUAAAAGCACUGCGUUAUCUUUCCUUGUCCUUCAUACGAUAAGUCUUGCGAGAUUAAAGUCGAAGUAUCUUUUAAACUAACCAUUUUUCGAUCGAAGUACCUUAACGCCUUUUUGCAAAGAAUUAAAAAAUGCAUCGCAUGGUCUCUAGGAAAACGUGCAUUUUUAUUUUAUAAACGCCAGACAUUGUAACUGCUAUAGGGCGAAUUUUUAAGGUUAUGUUAGAAGAGUUAAUUUAGUUAAUUAAAUACAAUUUUCGUUACUAGUAAUCAUUAUGGAUGACGGAGAUUUCAUUUUGCUUGCUAGUAAUCAUUAUCGAUGGACAGAAUUUUAUUUUGGCUGUAAAUAAUCGUUCAAACUAAGUACAAUCUUUGAUUACCAGUAAUCGUUGCCUAUCGAGGACAGGAAUUCUAUUUUAAUUACGAAUAAUCAUUACGAAUCAUUAUCGGCAGCAAAAUAAUUUUCUGUUUACAUUUGGCUAUUGUCAAUUGUUGGUAACAUCACUGGCAAUUAGCGUAUAUUCAUUGACAACAUAAAAAAGGCUAAUUAUAAAAUUUAUUGCAUUUAAAAAAACAGCACGAAAAUAUGUGAAAUAGAAUGAAAAUAUUGUACUACCAUAACUUUUAUCUUAUUCGUUGUUUCACACAUUUUCAUACAGUUUCUUUACUUAAUAAAUAAGUCUUAUAAUUAAGUACUUUUAUGCUGUCAAUGAAUGGUAAUUAUCAGUAAUGUUAAUGACAAAUUGACAAUAGUCGAAUGUAACCAAAAAAUAAUGUUUUCGCAGCUGAUAUUGGUUGGCGAUAAUAAAAAAAAUUUUUCGGCAUCGAUAAUGUAAUGAUCAUAAUUAAUCAAGUGUAAUUUAGGUUAACCAAAUUACAGUUAACCAAAAAAAAAAAAAUUCCGGUUUCAUUAAUAUUAAUAUUAUUUAAAUAUUAAAUUUCUGUCAUCGAUAAUGAUUGCUGGUAGGUAAAAAAUAUUUUAAUCGAUAUAAGUUUCAUUUGAAACAUUAUUUCGAGUAAUGUGUAGUGUGUGAGAUACUUACAUGGAUCGGUUAAAAUGAGACACCCUGUAUAACACCUAGCAACUUGAAUUGUUCACUCAAAUAAGAAUUCCAAAUUUUACGAAAUAUUACGUUUUCAUUAAAAAAGUUCUAUCUCUUUCGUUAAUCAUACCAAUUAGCCGAUGCGUGGAAAAUAACACUUAUCGUGUUCCAUUGAUAUUUAGUGAUAAAUCACUAGAUGUUUUAUGUAUGUUUUAAGAUCGUCGACGUGGAUAAUUUUAAUUGAUUUUAGCGGUAAGCUACGUAACUGUUACACUUUUCGUUGGCUCCUAUUGCGCCUUCAAUUUUUCCUUUUUUCCUUUACAUUUUUGUUAAAAACUGCCAACGUGGAGAUAAACGAUAUUUGGAAAUGUUAAACAUUUGUAUGAUUUACAAAUAACAUAUUUAUUUCGGUCCUCUG
Long non-coding RNA from Bombus pyrosoma, 3318 nucleotides. RefSeq lists it as uncharacterized. The record is from RefSeq and is a predicted model, not a curated record. The transcript is spliced from 3 exons. NCBI's taxonomy places the organism in Eukaryota, Metazoa, Arthropoda, Insecta, Hymenoptera, Apidae.